Molecule: ribosomal RNA, 1832 nt
Filed under: Escherichia coli
Lineage: Bacteria; Pseudomonadati; Pseudomonadota; Gammaproteobacteria; Enterobacterales; Enterobacteriaceae
Description: partial 23S ribosomal RNA
Rfam family: Bacterial large subunit ribosomal RNA
Source: RNAcentral
UGUGUGUUAGUGGAAGCGUCUGGAAAGGCGCGCGAUACAGGGUGACAGCCCCGUACACAAAAAUGCACAUGCUGUGAGCUCGAUGAGUAGGGCGGGACACGUGGUAUCCUGUCUGAAUAUGGGGGGACCAUCCUCCAAGGCUAAAUACUCCUGACUGACCGAUAGUGAACCAGUACCGUGAGGGAAAGGCGAAAAGAACCCCGGCGAGGGGAGUGAAAAAGAACCUGAAACCGUGUACGUACAAGCAGUGGGAGCACGCUUAGGCGUGUGACUGCGUACCUUUUGUAUAAUGGGUCAGCGACUUAUAUUCUGUAGCAAGGUUAACCGAAUAGGGGAGCCGAAGGGAAACCGAGUCUUAACUGGGCGUUAAGUUGCAGGGUAUAGACCCGAAACCCGGUGAUCUAGCCAUGGGCAGGUUGAAGGUUGGGUAACACUAACUGGAGGACCGAACCGACUAAUGUUGAAAAAUUAGCGGAUGACUUGUGGCUGGGGGUGAAAGGCCAAUCAAACCGGGAGAUAGCUGGUUCUCCCCGAAAGCUAUUUAGGUAGCGCCUCGUGAAUUCAUCUCCGGGGGUAGAGCACUGUUUCGGCAAGGGGGUCAUCCCGACUUACCAACCCGAUGCAAACUGCGAAUACCGGAGAAUGUUAUCACGGGAGACACACGGCGGGUGCUAACGUCCGUCGUGAAGAGGGAAACAACCCAGACCGCCAGCUAAGGUCCCAAAGUCAUGGUUAAGUGGGAAACGAUGUGGGAAGGCCCAGACAGCCAGGAUGUUGGCUUAGAAGCAGCCAUCAUUUAAAGAAAGCGUAAUAGCUCACUGGUCGAGUCGGCCUGCGCGGAAGAUGUAACGGGGCUAAACCAUGCACCGAAGCUGCGGCAGCGACGCUGAUGCGUUGUUGGGUAGGGGAGCGUUCUGUAAGCCUGCGAAGGUGUGCUGUGAGGCAUGCUGGAGGUAUCAGAAGUGCGAAUGCUGACAUAAGUAACGAUAAAGCGGGUGAAAAGCCCGCUCGCCGGAAGACCAAGGGUUCCUGUCCAACGUUAAUCGGGGCAGGGUGAGUCGACCCCUAAGGCGAGGCCGAAAGGCGUAGUCGAUGGGAAACAGGUUAAUAUUCCUGUACUUGGUGUUACUGCGAAGGGGGGACGGAGAAGGCUAUGUUGGCCGGGCGACGGUUGUCCCGGUUUAAGCGUGUAGGCUGGUUUUCCAGGCAAAUCCGGAAAAUCAAGGCUGAGGCGUGAUGACGAGGCACUACGGUGCUGAAGCAACAAAUGCCCUGCUUCCAGGAAAAGCCUCUAAGCAUCAGGUAACAUCAAAUCGUACCCCAAACCGACACAGGUGGUCAGGUAGAGAAUACCAAGGCGCUUGAGAGAACUCGGGUGAAGGAACUAGGCAAAAUGGUGCCGUAACUUCGGGAGAAGGCACGCUGAUAUGUAGGUGAAGUCCCUUGCGGAUGGAGCUGAAAUCAGUCGAAGAUACCAGCUGGCUGCAACUGUUUAUUAAAAACACAGCACUGUGCAAACACGAAAGUGGACGUAUACGGUGUGACGCCUGCCCGGUGCCGGAAGGUUAAUUGAUGGGGUUAGCCGCAAGGCGAAGCUCUUGAUCGAAGCCCCGGUAAACGGCGGCCGUAACUAUAACGGUCCUAAGGUAGCGAAAUUCCUUGUCGGGUAAGUUCCGACCUGCACGAAUGGCGUAAUGAUGGCCAGGCUGUCUCCACCCGAGACUCAGUGAAAUUGAACUCGCUGUGAAGAUGCAGUGUACCCGCGGCAAGACGGAAAGACCCCGUGAACCUUUACUAUAGCUUGACACUGAACAUUGAGCCUUGAUGUGUAG